Molecule: ribosomal RNA, 301 nt
Filed under: uncultured bacterium
Lineage: Bacteria
Description: partial 16S ribosomal RNA
Rfam family: Bacterial small subunit ribosomal RNA
Source: RNAcentral
CAGCAGCCGCGGUAACACGGAGGGUGCAAGCGUUAAUCGGAAUUACUGGGCGUAAAGCGCACGCAGGCGGUCUGACAAGUCAGAUGUGAAAUCCCCGGGCUUAACCUGGGAACUGCAUUUGAAACUGUCAGGCUGGAGUCUUGUAGAGGGGGGUAGAAUUCCAGGUGUAGCGGUGAAAUGCGUAGAGAUCUGGAGGAAUACCGGUGGCGAAGGCGGCCCCCUGGACAAAGACUGACGCUCAGGUGCGAAAGCGUGGGGAGCAAACAGGAUUAGAUACCCCCGUAGUCCCGUCUCUUAUACC